Molecule: unclassified non-coding RNA, 277 nt
Filed under: Hevea brasiliensis (rubber tree)
Lineage: Eukaryota; Viridiplantae; Streptophyta; Magnoliopsida; Malpighiales; Euphorbiaceae
Source: RNAcentral
CAAAAUUCUAAAUAAAGAACCCAAUACGAAGUCUAUUUCUCCAACAGACUAUUUUGAGUUCAAUUCCAAAUUCACUGAUAAAAUGAGAAGGAUCAAGAUACCUCUCCCUCCAGUUGAUGAGAAAAGGAAGGUAAUUGAAGAUGUGGACAAAGAUCGGAGAUAUGCUAUAGAUGCCUCAAUAGUACGCAUUAUGAAGAGUCGUAAAGUUUUGGGACAUCAACAAUUGGUUAUGGAAUGUGUUGAGCAGCUUGGCCGCAUGUUCAAGCCUGACUUCAAG